GAUCAUGGCUCAGGAUGAACGCUAGCUACAGGCUUAACACAUGCAAGUCGAGGGGAACGAUAUUGGAAGCUUGCUUCCGAUAGGCGUCGACCGGCGCACGGGUGAGUAACGCGUAUCCAACCUGCCCGUCACUUGGGAAUAACCUUGCGAAAGUAAGACUAAUACCCAAUGAUAUCCCACGAAGGCAUCCGAAUGGGAUUAAAGAUUUAUCGGUGAUGGAUGGGGAUGCGUCUGAUUAGCUUGUUGGCGGGGUAACGGCCCACCAAGGCAACGAUCAGUAGGGGUUCUGAGAGGAAGGUCCCCCACAUUGGAACUGAGACACGGUCCAAACUCCUACGGGAGGCAGCAGUGAGGAAUAUUGGUCAAUGGGCGAGAGCCUGAACCAGCCAAGUAGCGUGCAGGAUGACGGCCCUAUGGGUUGUAAACUGCUUUUAUAAGGGAAUAAAGUGAGUCUCGUGAGACUUUUUGCAUGUACCUUAUGAAUAAGGACCGGCUAAUUCCGUG
Molecule: ribosomal RNA, 504 nt
Filed under: uncultured bacterium
Lineage: Bacteria
Description: bacterial SSU rRNA
Rfam family: Bacterial small subunit ribosomal RNA
Source: RNAcentral